RNAcentral lists this ribosomal RNA (474 nucleotides) under uncultured bacterium. Its description in RNAcentral is "bacterial SSU rRNA". It matches the Rfam family "Bacterial small subunit ribosomal RNA", at positions 24 to 518 of the family's 1533-position model. The record is from RNAcentral.
UCAGGACGAACGCUGGCGGUGUGCCUCAUACAUGCAAGUCGAACGAUAAGGUCCUUCGGGAAUACAUAAGUGGCGGACGGGUGAGUACAACAUAGGAAAUCUGCCUAAACUGGGGGACAACAGAGGGAAACUUCUGCUAAUACCCCAUACGAGCUUAGUUGAAAUACUAAUCUUGAAAGCUCCGGCGGUUUAGGAUGAGCCUGUGCCUGAUUAGCUAGUUGGUGGUGUAAUGGACUACCAAGGCGACGAUCAGUAGCUGGUUUGAGAGGAUGAUCAGCCACAAUGGGACUGAGACACGGCCCAUACUCCUACGGGAGGCAGCAGUAGGGAAUUUUGCGCAAUGGGGGAAACCCUGAACCGCAGCAACACCGCGUGAAUGUUAAGCCCUUCGGGGUGUAAAGUUCUGUCAGUAGGGAAGAAUAAAUAGACUGUACCUACAAAGGAAGCACCGGCUAACUCCGUGCCAGCAGCGGC